UGGAAUCAUUCUACUGCUUUGUCAGUUCCUUAAAAUUACAUUUAUUGCUUUCUGUUCACUCAUGAAUCUGAACACAAUAAAUUGCGAAUACUGCACACAUUGACUUGAGUCUAUGGCUGGAAAUCUAAACAACCGUGGUUUCAAAUUAAAAAUUUUCACUUUCAUUUUCAAAGGUCUGUUAGCUAGCAGAAGAAAUUGCGUGGAAAAGAAGAUACGUUUUGUCGAAAAAUCUGUCCAAGGACUUGGUGUUAAGGAAAGACUUUGAAUGGUAAGAGUUUCUUCACUUUUCUUCUGCUUUUAAUGCACUAAAUGGUGAACCCAUUUGGUCUUUCCAAGUUGGUACUGGCAAAAGCCUAACUGAAUGCAGAAAAAUAUUCAACUUGACACCUCAGGCAAUUAAGACACUACUUCCUAGACAAUGAAUUCAAUUCAAAUUUUCUGAAGUUAAAAUUUAUACAAUUACGAAUAAUCAUGAACACAUUUCAUGCAGAUGACAGAUGAGCACAAGUAAUAAAUCAUAAAUUAGAUCUUUAAAUUAAUAAAUCGUAAAUUAGAUUCCACAACAAUAGAAUUAAUCAACACUCGUAUCAUAUCAAGUUCUUUUUAUCACUUAAGUUACCACGAACAGCUGUGACAACCGGGAGGCUUUACAGUGGCCGAUGGGAGCUGCAACUGUUAGGAUGCUAUUGUGCUGGCUGAGGCUGAUUCGCUGACUUUGCUAUCAUGAGCUGAGCUAGGGCUACCGUGAGGCAUGAGAUACUGUCGUGGGCUGCUGUGGUCGAUUCAGGCCGUCAGCAGCGAUGCUGUCGUGGACUCGUGAGGCUGUGUUGGCUGUCGUGGUGUGCUGUCCUGGCUGUCGUGCCGACGUGGAAGCAACCGGCGGCCAAAUUCGAGAGAGAAGGAGUCGAGGAGAUGCUGGCUGCUAGUGUUCGUUCUGUGGUUUUGGGAAAUUGUCAUUUGUCAAUUGGGAUCGGGUUGCACCGUAAGAGUUUUAGUUUUUUUUUUUUUUUCAAUGUAAGCGGUUGUUACUAUUAACCGAAUUGCAAAACCAAUCGGGUUAAAGAAUUUAAUCCGAUUGAUUUUUAGGUUAAUCCGAACUGAACCAAAUCAAAAGUUGAAUAAAAAUUUAAGUUCGGACCUGAAUAAAAAGCCACCAAUUAUAUGCAAUCAAUUGAUUUAUGCAAGUAAAGGUUGUGUCAAAGUCAUGGGCGGUUUGGCACCAUUAACAUAUUUCAAAAUGGCCACCCAAAUUGAAGGCCAAGUAGAUGCCGCCCAAGGAAAGAAACAAAAGAGAAAGAAGAAAAGAAGAAAGAGAGAAGAAAAAGAGAUGUC
RNAcentral lists this long non-coding RNA (1332 nucleotides) under Citrus sinensis (sweet orange). RNAcentral describes it as "long non-coding RNA (CSIN_LNC004458)". The record is from RNAcentral. Lineage: Eukaryota; Viridiplantae; Streptophyta; Magnoliopsida; Sapindales; Rutaceae.